CAGAGAUGAUUCUUUUCUUGGAGAGCAUCUCCACUGGAGUGUUUGGUGACUUCUGAUACUUGGAAAGGGGGCCUGAACAUGGUCAUACCUAACAGAUCUUCUGGAUUCAGCCUAAUUCUUGUCAAGCAACUCCAGUAUCUCUGCACUGCACUCCCCAGAGCUCCACACUGUAUUUAUAUCUCUUACAAUGAAGAGUUAACAACACAAGAAUUUCCAAUGAGACUGAUGUUCCCAUGAGACUGCGAUCUGGCUGAUUCUGUUUAAAAAAAGAAACAAAUAGAAUGGUGAAAGAUGUUAUACUGUCUUUGCUACUUUAAUGUAGCAGGAAAGUUAAUGAAUAGCAAAAUAAAUCUCAAAUUCAAAGGCACUUACUACU
Molecule: non-coding RNA, 376 nt
Organism: Phasianus colchicus (ring-necked pheasant)
Lineage: Eukaryota; Metazoa; Chordata; Aves; Galliformes; Phasianidae
Source: RefSeq, a predicted model, not a curated record